AUACGUAGGGGGCGGGCGUUGCCCGGAAUGAUUGGGCGUAAAGGGCGCGUAGGCGGCCCGGUAAGUCUGGAGUGAAAGUCCUGUUUUUAAGAUGGGAAUUGCUUUGGAUACUGUCGGGCUUGAGUGCAGGAGAGGUAAGUGGAAUUCCCAGUGUAGCGGGGAAAUGCGUAGAGAUUGGGAGGAACACCAGUGGCGAAGGCGACUUACUGGACUGUAACUGACGCUGAGGCGCGAAAGUGUGGGGAGCAAACAGGAUUAGAUACCCUGGUAGUCCACACUGUAAACGAUGAAUGCUAGGUGUAGGGGGUAUCGACCCCUUCUGUGCCGCAGUCAACACAAUAAGCAUUCCGCCUGGGGAGUACGGCCGCAAGGUUGAAACUCAAAUGAAUUGACGGGG
Molecule: ribosomal RNA, 397 nt
Filed under: uncultured bacterium
Lineage: Bacteria
Description: partial 16S ribosomal RNA
Rfam family: Bacterial small subunit ribosomal RNA
Source: RNAcentral